AGUGAACGCUGGCGGUAGGCCUAACACAUGCAAGUCGAACGGCAGCACAGUAAGAGCCUGCUCUUACGGGUGGCGAGUGGCGGACGGGUGAGGAAUACAUCGGAAUCUACUUUUUCGUGGGGGAUAACGUAGGGAAACUUACGCUAAUACCGCAUACGACCUACGGGUGAAAGCAGGGGAUCUUCGGACCUUGCGCGAUUGAAUGAGCUGAUGUCGGAUUAGCUAGUUGGCGGGGUAAAGGCCCACCAAGGCGACGAUCCGUAGCUGGUCUGAGAGGAUGAUCAGCCACACUGGAACUGAGACACGGUCCAGACUCCUACGGGAGGCAGCAGUGGGGAAUAUUGGACAAUGGGCGCAAGCCUGAUCCAGCCAUACCGCGUGGGUGAAGAAGGCCUUCGGGUUGUAAAGCCCUUUUGUUGGGAAAGAAAAGCAGCAGGUUAAUACCCCGCUGUUCUGACGGUACCCAAAGAAUAAGCACCGGCUAACUUCGUG
RNAcentral lists this ribosomal RNA (492 nucleotides) under uncultured bacterium. Its description in RNAcentral is "partial 16S ribosomal RNA". It matches the Rfam family "Bacterial small subunit ribosomal RNA", at positions 29 to 507 of the family's 1533-position model. The record is from RNAcentral.